RNAcentral lists this transfer RNA (72 nucleotides) under Pseudomonadota bacterium. RNAcentral describes it as "tRNA-Val". It matches the Rfam family "tRNA". Rfam says of the family: Transfer RNA (tRNA) molecules are approximately 80 nucleotides in length. Their secondary structure includes four short double-helical elements and three loops (D, anti-codon, and T loops). The record is from RNAcentral. RNAcentral also lists the same sequence under 3 other names. Lineage: Bacteria; Pseudomonadati; Pseudomonadota.
AGGCACGUAGCUCAGCGGGAGAGCACUACCUUGACACGGUAGGGGUCGGCGGUUCAAUCCCGCCCGUGCCUA